UGCACGCUCCUUAGAUCCAUCUCUGAUAUAUCUAGGAGAUGCUUGAGUCAUUGGCGUGCAAUAAUACUUCAAUACCUUCUUUUUGGUCUCUUGUGGUAAUAUCUAUUAUGUUACUCGCAUUAACCAACGAGAGGACAAA
Molecule: small nucleolar RNA, 139 nt
Filed under: Harpegnathos saltator (Jerdon's jumping ant)
Lineage: Eukaryota; Metazoa; Arthropoda; Insecta; Hymenoptera; Formicidae
Description: Small nucleolar RNA SNORA53
Rfam family: Small nucleolar RNA SNORA53
About the family: The snoRNA ACA53 belongs to the H/ACA family of pseudouridylation guide snoRNAs.
Source: Rfam by way of RNAcentral